RNAcentral lists this ribosomal RNA (467 nucleotides) under uncultured Alphaproteobacteria bacterium. RNAcentral describes it as "bacterial SSU rRNA". It matches the Rfam family "Bacterial small subunit ribosomal RNA", at positions 9 to 523 of the family's 1533-position model. The record is from RNAcentral. Lineage: Bacteria; Pseudomonadati; Pseudomonadota; Alphaproteobacteria.
GAGUUUGAUCCUGGCUCAGAGCGAACGCUGGCGGCAGGCUUAACACAUGCAAGUCGAACGGGCACUUCGGUGUCAGUGGCAGACGGGUGAGUAACACGUGGGAACGUACCUUUUGGUUCGGAACAACUGAGGGAAACUUCAGCUAAUACCGGAUAAGCCCUUACGGGGAAAGAUUUAUCGCCGAAAGAUCGGCCCGCGUCUGAUUAGCUAGUUGGUAGGGUAAUGGCCUACCAAGGCGACGAUCAGUAGCUGGUCUGAGAGGAUGAUCAGCCACAUUGGGACUGAGACACGGCCCAAACUCCUACGGGAGGCAGCAGUGGGGAAUAUUGGACAAUGGGGCAACCCUGAUCCAGCCAUGCCGCGUGAGUGAUGAAGGCCCUAGGGUUGUAAAGCUCUUUUGUGCGGGAAGAUAAUGACGGUACCGCAAGAAUAAGCCCCGGCUAACUUCGUGCCAGCCGCCGCGGUAA